This 408-nucleotide ribosomal RNA is filed under the name uncultured bacterium. Its description in RNAcentral is "partial 16S ribosomal RNA". It matches the Rfam family "Bacterial small subunit ribosomal RNA", at positions 28 to 526 of the family's 1533-position model. The record is from RNAcentral.
GACGCACGCUGGCGGCGUGCUUAACACAUGCAAGUCGAACGAACUGGCGAACGGGUGAGUAAUACGUGAGUAACCUGCCCUCCUUUUUGGGAUAAGCCUUGGAAACGGUGUCUAAUACCGAAUAAAGGGGGAUGGACUCGCUGCCUAUCAGCUUGUUGGUGGGGUGGUGGCCUACCCAGGCGGUGACGGGUAGCCGGCCUGAGAGGGUGACCGGCAAUAUUGGGACUGAGAUACGGCCCAGAUGCCUACGGGAGGCAGCAUUGGGGGAUAUUGAACAAUGCGCGAAAGGCUGAAGCAGCGAGGCGGCGUGGGGGAUGAAGGCUCUCGGGUUGUAAACCUCUUUAGUGAGCGAACGGUUAGGUGGAGAAGAAGCGCGGGCUAACUACGUGCCAGCAGCCGCGGUAAUUC